Small nuclear RNA from Juglans regia (Persian walnut), 116 nucleotides. RefSeq annotates it as U5 spliceosomal RNA. The transcript has a single exon. The record is from RefSeq and is a predicted model, not a curated record. NCBI's taxonomy places the organism in Eukaryota, Viridiplantae, Streptophyta, Magnoliopsida, Fagales, Juglandaceae.
AGCCGUGCGGUGAGCACAAAGCGAACUAUUCUUUCGCCUUUUACUAAAGAAUACCGUGUGCUCGCCGUUUACAACGGCAUACAUCAAUUUUUUAAGGGGAUUUUCUCUGGAUUUCC